This 253-nucleotide ribosomal RNA is filed under the name uncultured bacterium. RNAcentral describes it as "partial 16S ribosomal RNA". It matches the Rfam family "Bacterial small subunit ribosomal RNA", at positions 524 to 776 of the family's 1533-position model. The record is from RNAcentral.
UACGUAGGGUGCAAACGUUGCUCGGAAUCACUGGGCGUAAAGGGCGUGUAGGCGGGAAUGUAAGUCGGGCGUGAAAUCCCUAGGCUCAACCUAGGAACUGCACUCGAAACUGCGUUUCUUGAGUAUCGGAGAGGAAAGCGGAAUACCUGGUGUAGAGGUGAAAUUCGUAGAUAUCAGGUGGAACACCAGUGGCGAAGGCGGCUUUCUGGACGAUAACUGACGCUGAGACGCGAAAGCGUGGGGAGCAAACAGG